Molecule: ribosomal RNA, 450 nt
Filed under: uncultured bacterium
Lineage: Bacteria
Description: partial 16S ribosomal RNA
Rfam family: Bacterial small subunit ribosomal RNA
Source: RNAcentral
GUGGGGAAUCUUCCGCAAUGGACGAAAGUCUGACGGAGCAACGCCGCGUGAGUGAAGAAGGUUUUCGGAUCGUAAAGCUCUUUCGUUAGGGACGAACGUGCUCUUUGUGAAUAAUGAGGAGUAAUGACGGUACCUAAAUAAGAAGCCACGGCUAACUACGUGCCAGCAGCCGCGGUAAUACGUAGGUGGCAAGCGUUGUCCGGAAUUAUUGGGCGUAAAGCGCGCGCAGGCGGGAUAUCAAGUCUGUCUUAAAAGUGCGAGUCUCAACCUCGUGAGGGGACAGAAACUGGUAUUCUUGAGUGUCGGAGAGGAAAGUGGAAUUCCAAGUGUAGCGGUGAAAUGCGUAGAGAUUUGGAAGAACACCAGUGGCGAAGGCGACUUUCUGGACGAUGUCUGACGCUGAGGCGCGAAAGCUAGGGGAGCGAACGGGAUUAGAAACCCUAGUAGUCC